This is a long non-coding RNA of Panicum hallii, 607 nucleotides long. RefSeq lists it as uncharacterized. NCBI's taxonomy places the organism in Eukaryota, Viridiplantae, Streptophyta, Magnoliopsida, Poales, Poaceae. The transcript is spliced from 3 exons. The record is from RefSeq and is a predicted model, not a curated record.
CGCCUGCGCUGCAUUCCAGAAAGGAGCAUGGGUGGAACGAAGAGCGUUAAGGAAAGGCAUCGGGUGGUUGAGGGAACGGAGCCACAAAUCAAGCGGCGUGUGCAGCCGUAAACCCCGGCCGCAUGAUCACCGUGAACGGAGAGCCGCGAUCGGAUGCUGCUGGCCUGCUGCCACAGAUCUUGCUUGCUAUAUUAGUAUGGAAAGAUAUGGAUUAUUGGAGAGGAUUUAGUAUCAGAUCAUGCAGCCCAUAGAAGGCUCUCUGAGUUUCUGCGCAUAUAGGCGGAGCACACCAUUCCUCUCGCCCCUCGAAGAACACCAUUCCUCUCAUCCCUCCAAGAGCACUGCGUCCAGAGCUUCACCUCGCCUUGAACUGGGUCAACGCAGGUUGGGGCGUCAGGUCAGCUCCGGAAAUGGCUGCGAUGACACGCGCCUUGCUGCUGCUGUUCGCACUGGCCAUACGGUCAGCAGGAGGACAGCAACGCGUCCACAACGUCAUCGACUUCCACGCGGCCGGGGACGGCAAGACGGACGAUGCGCAGGCGUUCCUGGGGACAUGGCAAGCGGCUUGCAGCGACGCGGGCGAGCCGGUCAUGGCCGUCCCCGGGGA